This 1454-nucleotide ribosomal RNA is filed under the name uncultured organism. Its description in RNAcentral is "SSU rRNA". It matches the Rfam family "Bacterial small subunit ribosomal RNA". The record is from RNAcentral.
AGCUACAGGCUUAACACAUGCAAGUCGAGGGGCAGCAUGGUCUUAGCUUGCUAAGGCCGAUGGCGACCGGCGCACGGGUGAGUAACACGUAUCCAACCUGCCGUCUACUCUUGGACAGCCUUCUGAAAGGAAGAUUAAUACAAGAUGGCAUCAUGAGUCCGCAUGUUCACAUGAUUAAAGGUAUUCCGGUAGACGAUGGGGAUGCGUUCCAUUAGAUAGUAGGCGGGGUAACGGCCCACCUAGUCUUCGAUGGAUAGGGGUUCUGAGAGGAAGGUCCCCCACAUUGGAACUGAGACACGGUCCAAACUCCUACGGGAGGCAGCAGUGAGGAAUAUUGGUCAAUGGGCGAGAGCCUGAACCAGCCAAGUAGCGUGAAGGAUGACUGCCCUAUGGGUUGUAAACUUCUUUUAUAAAGGAAUAAAGUCGGGUAUGGAUACCCGUUUGCGUGUACUUUAUGAAUAAGGAUCGGCUAACUCCGUGCCAGCAGCCGCGGUAAUACGGAGGAUCCGAGCGUUAUCCGGAUUUAUUGGGUUUAAAGGGAGCGUAGAUGGAUGUUUAAGUCAGUUGUGAAAGUUUGCGGCUCAACCGUAAAAUUGCAGUUGAUACUGGAUAUCUUGAGUGCAGUUGAGGCAGGCGGAAUUCGUGGUGUAGCGGUGAAAUGCUUAGAUAUCACGAAGAACUCCGAUUGCGAAGGCAGCCUGCUAAGCUGCAACUGACAUUGAGGCUCGAAAGUGUGGGUAUCAAACAGGAUUAGAUACCCUGGUAGUCCACACGGUAAACGAUGAAUACUCGCUGUUUGCGAUAUACUGCAAGCGGCCAAGCGAAAGCGUUAAGUAUUCCACCUGGGGAGUACGCCGGCAACGGUGAAACUCAAAGGAAUUGACGGGGGCCCGCACAAGCGGAGGAACAUGUGGUUUAAUUCGAUGAUACGCGAGGAACCUUACCCGGGCUUAAAUUGCAGAUGAAUUACGGUGAAAGCCGUAAGCCGCAAGGCAUCUGUGAAGGUGCUGCAUGGUUGUCGUCAGCUCGUGCCGUGAGGUGUCGGCUUAAGUGCCAUAACGAGCGCAACCCUUGUUGUCAGUUACUAACAGGUUCCGCUGAGGACUCUGACAAGACUGCCAUCGUAAGAUGUGAGGAAGGUGGGGAUGACGUCAAAUCAGCACGGCCCUUACGUCCGGGACUACACACGUGUUACAAUGGGGGGUACAGAGGGCCGCUACCACGCGAGUGGAUGCCAAUCCCCAAAACCUCUCUCAGUUCGGACUGGAGUCUGCAACCCGACUCCACGAAGCUGGAUUCGCUAGUAAUCGCGCAUCAGCCACGGCGCGGUGAAUACGUUCCCGGGCCUUGUACACACCGCCCGUCAAGCCAUGGGAGCCGGGGGUACCUGAAGUGCGUAACCGCGAGGAGCGCCCUAGGGUAAAACUGGUGACUGGGGCUAAGUCAUAACAAGG